CGGGGUGCACCAGGCGCGAAAACUUUACAAUGCUGGAAACAGCGAUAGGGGGACUUUGAGUGCCAGGAUACAAUUCUGGCUGUCGUCGUGCCUAAAAAGCACGGCAUAGCAAGGGCCGGGCAAGACCGGUGCCAGCCGCCGCGGUAACACCGGCGGCUCGAGUGGUAACCGCUAUUAUUGGGUCUAAAGGGUCUGUAGCCGGCUGAAAAAGUCUCUUGGGAAAUCCGGCAGCUUAACUGUCGGGCUUUCAGGAGAUACUCUUCGGCUCGAGACCGGGAGAGGUGAGAGGUACUUCAUGGGUAGGGGUGAAAUCUUGUAAUCCUUGAAGGACCACCAGUGGCGAAGGCGUCUCACCAGAACGGAUCUGACGGCAAGGGACGAAAGCUAGGGGCACGAACCGGAUUAGAUACCCGGGUAGUCCUAGCCGUAAACGAUACUCGCUAGGUGUCGGCCACGGUGCGACCGUGGUCGGUGCCGUAGGGAAGCCGUGAAGCGAGCCACCUGGGAAGUACGGCCGCAAGGCUGAAACUUAAAG
This 535-nucleotide ribosomal RNA is filed under the name uncultured archaeon. RNAcentral describes it as "bacterial SSU rRNA". It matches the Rfam family "Archaeal small subunit ribosomal RNA", at positions 326 to 861 of the family's 1478-position model. The record is from RNAcentral.